UUUUUGCCAAAUUUCUCUAUUGGGCCAUAAUGGCGAGUCUCUUCUUUUGAAAUUUCUUUUUGUACCUUUAUAACUUAUGUAAGAAAAAUUAGAGAAGAGGGAGGAGAAGAAUGAGAAGCAUGGGCAUAUAAUUAAAUGCACAUCACAUGUUUGUCUAAAGUUCCAUAAUGAGACACAACCACCCACUUUGCCAUCUUCCUCUUUUACCUUUCUCUCUUUUGUUCCCCAUCAACCUAAAAUUAUCAUUCCUUUUCAUCAUCAUUCUACCUAUCCAUUAAAUCCUAUUACAUUGCAAAUUAACUUAUUCUCUCAUCUCAACCUUUUCACCAUUCUUCUUCCAUCAAUUCCGCCUUUUCUUUCUCUUUUCAUCACUUCAAUACAUCUUUUAUGUGCUUCUAACUUUUACAAAUUCUUAAUACCUACACUCUUUAUCAAACAUCUUAUAAUGUGCACAAGGACAAUCUCUCUCUCUCUCUCUCCAUAUAUCUAUGAUUGUGGAGAAUC
This 504-nucleotide long non-coding RNA is filed under the name Vigna radiata. RNAcentral's name for it is "long non-coding RNA (VRAD_LNC011414)". Lineage: Eukaryota; Viridiplantae; Streptophyta; Magnoliopsida; Fabales; Fabaceae. The record is from RNAcentral.